UGAAUGCUUGAGCUUUGUGAUAGUUGAUGAUGAAAAAUGAAAGAUAUGUGAAAGAUUAACAUGUUUUGUCUUUGAAAUUUUGGUGAAAUUGAGUAAUUAGGGCUAAAUUGUGAAAAUAAAUUUUUGAGGGACUAAAAUGUGAAAUAAAUGAAAUGUGUGGACUUGUAUGAACACUAGGAACAUUCGGACUUAGUAUGGUGUGAUUAAAUUUUGUGUAUUUUGUGUUUUGUGCAAAAAGGACUAAAAAAAGAGUAAAAUGUGAGGGGGCAAAAUGGUAAUUUGCCCAUUUAUGUAUUUUUGGAUUUAAUUGAAUGAUUUGAUGGAUAAAAAGGCUAAAUUUGAAUAUUUUUAGAUCAAGAAACGAAGAAAACGGAAUUGGAUUGGGGGAAAACAAAAGUAGUCGAAUAGUCGAACGUCUCCGUCUAUAUCCGAGACUUAAGAUCAAGCUUCAAGCUCGGGGAUUGUCAGCAAGUUCAUCACUCUAUCUACUAUCUCUGUAUUAAACUGUUUAAAUUUUAACUUUGGCAUGUACAGGCUAGAUAAAUGUUUUGGUAAGUCGUACUUUGAUAUAUUGUAUAUGAAAUUAAUAGCCAUACGAAAAUGGCUUAUUUUCUUAUGGUUUAACGGGAUCAAAAUGUUAUGUUUUGUUUUAAAAA
This is a long non-coding RNA of Gossypium raimondii (Peruvian cotton), 656 nucleotides long. RefSeq lists it as uncharacterized. The transcript has 2 exons. Lineage: Eukaryota; Viridiplantae; Streptophyta; Magnoliopsida; Malvales; Malvaceae. The record is from RefSeq and is a predicted model, not a curated record.